AUUAAUAAAAUUGUUUAUAUGGUUGAUUGAAAGCUGUUAGGAUUUCAUUAGAUGUUUGUGAAUAAUCUUUUGUUUCUUUCAAAUCACCUUUGACAAUAAUACGUUCUGUAGCAGCAAGGUCUUCACAGGUUACUAAUGUGAUUUCAUUGACCCCAUCUCUAUCAUCAACUUCAUCAACACGAUCCGGUGUCACACGUUUGACUUCACGUAUUUCAUAAGUAUAAACUUUAUUUUUAUCGGUUAGAUAAAUCUUCAUGCCAUUUUUAGCAUUAUCUAAAGGAGAAAAUAACAUUUUAUUAGCAUUAUCAACACCAAAGAUAUGGUGACUAGCUAGACUAUAAUUUCCUUCUCCCAUUACUUGCUCGCGUUUCAUUGUACCAGCUCCGUAGAAGAGAUUAACAUUAUCAAGUCCUUUAAAAAUCGGCAAAUUCAUUUCCAAUUCAGGAAUUGCAAUUCCCCCAAUAACUGGUAAUUUUUGAGCAUCCCAUUGAGAAGUUAGAACAGCUUCCGAAGAGAUAGCUUUGACAGAAUCAAAGUCAAAAUUGCCUUCUGUAUCCUGAUUUUCUUCUAAUUUUUCUUUUGAUACCUGGCUAACUUGAUACUUAUUGGUAUUCCAGACUAUGAAAAUAUUUCGAAUUUGAGUAUUAAAAAUCAAAGCCAGUGACAGUAAUAUCAGAAAUCCUGCUAGGAUAUUUGUCAGCAGAUUUUUUCGCUUGUUUUUCUUUUUAUUAUUUUUUUGAGACAUUAUGCUUCACCUUCUGUUUCGUUUUCUGUCCCAACUUCUUCUUUUUCUGCCACCGCAACCGUUGUGAAAGUCACUAUCUGAGCAUCUUGAUCCAGGCGCAUUACUUUAACUCCCAUAGUUGCACGUCCUGUUUGUGAAAUAUUGGCAAGAUUGGUUCGAAUCAUGACACCUGUAUCAGUGAUAAUCAUCAAAUCCUCAUCCCCUUGAACAGUCAUAAGACCGGCCAGCAAGCCAUUUUUUUCGGUAAUUUUAGCUGUCUGCAUUCCCUUACCACCACGACCUUUUGUUGGGUAUUCAGUAGCGACUGUACGCUUACCAUAUCCUUUUUCUGUGAUAAUAAGAACCUCAUCUUGAUCAGUAAUCAAGCUGGCACCAACAACUGUGUCUCCUUCACGAAGGUUAACACCUUUCACACCAGUGGCGAUACGACUCAUACCACGAACGGCUGAUUGAUUAAAGCGAACUGCAUAACCAAACUUGGUACCAAUGAUAAUAUCCAUAUCUCCUUCUGCCAACAAGACAUUGAUUAACUCAUCUUCAUCCUUUAAAUUCAGCGCUUUGAGACCAUUUUGACGAAUAUUGGCAAACUCCUUAACACUGGUUCUCUUCACAAUACCGUGACGGGUUGUAAAGAAGAGAUAAGCAUCAUCACUGCGAUCAGACUCAACAUUGAUAACCGUCUGAAUACUUUCGUCUUCAUCCAAUUUCAAGAGAUUGACUACUGGUAGCCCUUUGGCAGUCCGACCAUACUCAGGAAUUUCAUAACCUUUAAGACGAUAGACACGUCCCUUGUUUGUGAAGAAGAGCAGAUGAUCAUGGGUACUAGUUGACACUAACUCACGAACAAAGUCAUCAUCUUUCACUCCCGUUCCUUGGACACCACGACCCCCACGUUUUUGAGCAGUGAACUCGUCCUGAUCCAAACGCUUAAUGUAGCCUCUGUUAGAAAGGGUAAUCAAGACAUCCGAUUCUUCAAUCAAGUCCUCAUCCUCGAGACUCAAGACCUGUCCAACCAUCAACUCUGUACGGCGUUUAUCAGAAAAUUUACGUUUAACUUCAUCCAAUUCGUCUUUGAUAAUUUGAGAAACACGUUCAGGCUUAGCAAGAAUAUCUGCUAAAUCCGCAAUCAGAGCCAAGAGGUCAUCAUACUCAGAUUGAAUCUUAUCGCGUUCCAAACCUGUCAAACGACGAAGACGCAUAUCAAGGAUAGCUUGACUUUGACGUUCAGAAAGCUUAAACUUGCUCAUCAACUCAGCUUGAGCUUCCGCAUCCGUUUCACUAGCACGGAUGAUACGAAUCACUUCGUCGAUAUGGUCUAGCGCAAUCAAGAGACCUUCUAAGAUAUGAGCGCGCGCUUCCGCUUUUUCCUUAUCAAAACGUGUACGACGAACAACCACUUCUUUUUGGUGCUCGAUAUAAGCAUCCAAAAUCUGACGAAGAGACAAAAUUUUCGGUAUACCAUUUUGGAUAGCGAGCAUAUUGAAACCAAAAUUGGUUUGCAUUUGGGUCAUUUUGAAGAGGUUAUUGAGAAUAACAUUGGCUGAGGCGUCGCGCUUGACUUCAAUAACAAAUCGAACACCUUCACGGUUUGACUCAUCACGUACUGCCGUGAUACCCUCAAUGCGUUUUUCCUGAACCAAGCGAACAAUAUGCUCAUGCACCUUGGUUUUAUUGACCAUAUAAGGAAAUUCUGUUACAACGAUACGCUCACGACCAGUCUUAGUCGUUUCAAUCUCUGUACGAGAACGUAGGACAAUCGAACCUUUACCUGUUUCAUAAGCCUUAUGGAUACCUGAUUUCCCCAUGACAAGAGCACCAGUUGGAAAAUCUGGUCCAGGCAAGACUUCCAUCAAGUCCUUGGUAGUCACUUCAGGAUUAUCCAUGACCAACUUCACUGCAUCAAUGGUUUCACCCAGAUUAUGAGGUGGAAUAUUGGUUGCCAUCCCAACCGCGAUACCAGUUGCUCCAUUAACCAAAAGGUUUGGAAAACGCGCUGGCAAGACCAAGGGUUCNCUUCGGGGUUGUAGGACUGCAAUGUGGACUCAAAGAUUAUAGAAGAAUGAUUUGGGAAGAUCAGCCAAAGAGAGUAAUAGCCUCGUAUUUAAAAUAGUCUUUGUACUUAGCAGUAUCCUGAGUACGGCGGGACACGUGAAAUCCCGUCGGAAUCUGGGAGGACCAUCUCCCAACCCUAAAUACUCCCUAGUGACCGAUAGUGAACCAGUACCGUGAGGGAAAGGUGAAAAGCACCCCGGGAGGGGAGUGAAAUAGAACCUGAAACCGUGUGCCUACAACAAGUUCGAGCCCGUUAAUGGGUGAGAGCGUGCCUUUUGUAGAAUGAACCGGCGAGUUACGUUAUGAUGCGAGGUUAAGUUGAAGAGACGGAGCCGUAGGGAAACCGAGUCUGAAUAGGGCGCCUUAGUAUCAUGACGUAGACCCGAAACCAUGUGACCUACCCAUGAGCAGGUUGAAGGUGCGGUAAGACGCACUGGAGGACCGAACCAGGGCACGUUGAAAAGUGCUUGGAUGACUUGUGGGUAGCGGAGAAAUUCCAAACGAACUUGGAGAUAGCUGGUUCUCUCCGAAAUAGCUUUAGGGCUAGCGUCGACAUUAGAGAUUCUUGGAGGUAGAGCACUGUUUGGGUGAGGGGUCCAUCCCGGAUUACCAAUCUCAGAUAAACUCCGAAUGCCAAUGAAUUAUGGUCGGCAGUCAGACUGCGAGUGCUAAGAUCCGUAGUCGAAAGGGAAACAGCCCAGACCACCAGCUAAGGUCCCAAAAUAAUUGUUAAGUGGAAAAGGAUGUGGGGUUGCACAGACAACUAGGAUGUUAGCUUAGAAGCAGCUAUUCAUUCAAAGAGUGCGUAAUAGCUCACUAGUCGAGUGACCCUGCGCCGAAAAUGUACCGGGGCUAAAACAAUUUACCGAAGCUGUGGAUACCUUUAUAGGUAUGGUAGGAGAGCGUUCUAUGUGUGAUGAAGGUAUACCGUGAGGAGUGCUGGAACGCAUAGAAGUGAGAAUGCCGGUAUGAGUAGCGAAAGACAGGUGAGAAUCCUGUCCACCGUAAGACUAAGGUUUCCAGGGGAAGGCUCGUCCGCCCUGGGUUAGUCGGGACCUAAGGAGAGACCGAAAGGUGUAUCCGAUGGACAACAGGUUGAUAUUCCUGUACUAGAGUAUGUAGUGAUGGAGGGACGCAGUAGGCUAACUAAAGCAGACGAUUGGAAGAGUCUGUCUAAGCAGUGAGGUGUGAAUUGAGUCAAAUGCUUAAUUCUAUAACAUUGAGCUGUGAUGGGGAGCGAAGUUUAGUAGCGAAGUUAGUGACGUCACACUGCCAAGAAAAGCUUCUAGCGUUUAAACAUACUCUACCCGUACCGCAAACCGACACAGGUAGUCGAGGCGAGUAGCCUCAGGUGAGCGAGAGAACUCUCGUUAAGGAACUCGGCAAAAUGACCCCGUAACUUCGGGAGAAGGGGUGCUGACUUUAAGUCAGCCGCAGUGAAUAGGCCCAAGCAACUGUUUAUCAAAAACACAGCUCUCUGCUAAAUCGUAAGAUGAUGUAUAGGGGGUGACGCCUGCCCGGUGCUGGAAGGUUAAGAGGAGUGCUUAGCGUAAGCGAAGGUAUGAAUUGAAGCCCCAGUAAACGGCGGCCGUAACUAUAACGGUCCUAAGGUAGCGAAAUUCCUUGUCGGGUAAGUUCCGACCCGCACGAAAGGCGUAAUGAUUUGGGCACUGUCUCAACGAGAGACUCGGUGAAAUUUUAGUACCUGUGAAGAUGCAGGUUACCCGCGACAGGACGGAAAGACCCCAUGGAGCUUUACUGCAGUUUGAUAUUGAGUGUCUGUACCACAUGUACAGGAUAGGUAGGAGUCUAAGAGAUCGGGACGCCAGUUUCGAAGGAGACGCUGUUGGGAUACUACCCUUGUGUUAUGGCCACUCUAACCCAGAUAGGUGAUCCCUAUCGGAGACAGUGUCUGACGGGCAGUUUGACUGGGGCGGUCGCCUCCUAAAAGGUAACGGAGGCGCCCAAAGGUUCCCUCAGAAUGGUUGGAAAUCAUUCGCAGAGUGUAAAGGUAUAAGGGAGCUUGACUGCGAGAGCUACAACUCGAGCAGGGACGAAAGUCGGGCUUAGUGAUCCGGUGGUUCCGUAUGGAAGGGCCAUCGCUCAACGGAUAAAAGCUACCCUGGGGAUAACAGGCUUAUCUCCCCCAAGAGUUCACAUCGACGGGGAGGUUUGGCACCUCGAUGUCGGCUCGUCGCAUCCUGGGGCUGUAGUCGGUCCCAAGGGUUGGGCUGUUCGCCCAUUAAAGCGGCACGCGAGCUGGGUUCAGAACGUCGUGAGACAGUUCGGUCCCUAUCCGUCGCGGGCGUAGGAAAUUUGAGAGGAUCUGCUCCUAGUACGAGAGGACCAGAGUGGACUUACCGCUGGUGUACCAGUUGUCUUGCCAAAGGCAUCGCUGGGUAGCUAUGUAGGGAAGGGAUAAACGCUGAAAGCAUCUAAGUGUGAAACCCACCUCAAGAUGAGAUUUCCCAUGAUUAUAUAUCAGUAAGAGCCCUGAGAGAUGAUCAGGUAGAUAGGUUAGAAGUGGAAGUGUGGCGACACAUGUAGCGGACUAAUACUAAUAGCUCGAGGACUUAUCCAA
This 5378-nucleotide ribosomal RNA is filed under the name Streptococcus pneumoniae. Its description in RNAcentral is "23S ribosomal RNA". The stretch from base 2581 to 5378 matches the Rfam family "Bacterial large subunit ribosomal RNA". The record is from RNAcentral. Lineage: Bacteria; Bacillati; Bacillota; Bacilli; Lactobacillales; Streptococcaceae.